Molecule: long non-coding RNA, 3865 nt
Filed under: Podarcis lilfordi (Lilford's wall lizard)
Lineage: Eukaryota; Metazoa; Chordata; Lepidosauria; Squamata; Lacertidae
Source: RNAcentral
AUGCGAGGGCGAACCGUGCUUUAUAGGAAAUAGAAAUAAGAUUGGGCACUUUGAAAGACUAACGAGAUCCCUUGCGGCAUCGGUUUCUUGGAAGUGCAGAGCUCUCGUCAUCAGUAAUGAAGCAUUUCCUCAUUUAUUAUUAUUAUAUUUACUAGGCAGCCGACGGGGUGCACAAAAGCUUAUGACACACUGUGGUGGCGAUCCGUCCUACCAUGGUUGCUUGCCUGGGAGAAAGCCCCAUUGAAUCCAGUGGGGCUUACUUCUGAGGAAACGUGUAAAGACAGUGCAGCUGUGUGAAUUCUUUAAGGUCCCACCCAACUUCCGGUGCUCCAAAGUAAACUACAUUAUUCUGUGUAUGUGCAGUAGGGUUUAUUUAUAGGACUGCAGCAGCCUGCCAGUGCAGAUCAACUCUCUGCAUGUUGACUUAGGUGCAAGUCCCACUGAUCAAUGGGGCUAAUUUUCAAGGAGAAGCUUCACUAAGCUUACUUCCCAGUAACUGUGCAUAUUUGACAAAUCAGGCUCCUCCCCCCCUUAAUUGCAGCAGACUGUCACUGCUACCCCUCUGGAAUUCAUCCCAAGCAGUGCCCCAGCUGGUCAAUCAAUUAUAUUUCAAAGCAUUAGGUGAAUCACUCUCCUAAAUAAAUAACGCUGAUGGCUUGUUAUUUUUAUUAUUUGCUUUUAUCUUAUACUUAUGACACAUCAAAAAUCUGAAAUAACUGUUUGGUUUUUUUUAAAAGGUAGAAUCAAAAGGAGGUGGGAAUAGAUUACAUGCAGCCCUGGACUCUCAAGAUGAGCAGAGACCCUCAUUUACGGUUUGCAACAACACCGCCUGGACAAGAGAUGAUUAUUACAGCAGGGGAGAUUUCCCAGUUGGGUUGCCAGAUGUCCCUUAUUUCAAAAGCCAUCCUUCAUGUAAAAAGGAUUGUCCUUUAUUGCAGCUCAUCCAAGGGCUCAACAGACACAAUAGAGAGGAUCCUUGUUUCGCAUUGCACAGCUCCAUGGAACAUCAGAGAUAUCAUAAGCUGAGGUUAGAAAGGCUUUGAUAACAAUUUAUCCCUUAAUUCUAUUAAGUGUUGUUGGUUAUUUGUUUACAACAUGUAUAUGCUUCCCCAUAACCAGACUCCUUGUGGUGGCUUUCUGUGAAAAGAGUAAAAUACAAUUCAAACCUAAUAAAAAAACAAAUGCAGCAUGAACAACAAAUUAGACAACAGAAACCGUUAAAAAAACACACACAGCAAGACUGCCAAGCAGCACAAGCAGAUCUUAAAAAUGUCAGUGACACAGGCUCCUCAGAAAUCCUUUUAAUUCUGUAUUCGUUAUGUUUCCAUAAUGUUAUUGGGAUGGUCAUAGAUAAUCCCGCUUUCAAUACUGCUUGCAUCUGCAAAAGUUUGGGGGCUUCAGUUCUGAUCAGUGCAUAUCGCAUAACUGGAAAUCCUGUAACUUUUUAUACCACAAAUCUGGUUUAUUUUUGUCCCACGUUUGUUGCUCUGCAGGCCUUCUGGAUAGCAAUAAUAUGUUAUAGCAUUAGGGAAGCAUCACAGAACAAACUAAAACAGAAUAAACCCAUCAUUAAUGCACUAUUGGGAUUACAAGAACAUGUUGCAGAAUACCCCUGCAAUAAAACAUCAAUCUGGAUAGGCCCAUACCCUGCAAAACCUUAACAUCUCUCAAGGCUGGUUAAGUAUUACAUUCAGGCAAGGUAGAGGGCAAAGGAAGGUACUGAGCAGGAAAUUGAAAGUGUUAUUUGACCUUAAAAAGGUAAUCAUUACCUUUGCAAAGCAACAACAUUCUACAGCGUAAGGAUAUUAUUGCAUGAUUAUUUUAAGGAUAUUAUUCGUUGAGUAGGAGUAAUCAAAAUGUGGAUGCGACAUCCCUUGGAAGUAAACACAGCCAAUUCCCUGAAUAAUAAAAGCACCAAAAAUGUCAAGUUGUCAUUGGGUAAUUUUUCUCCCUCUCUCAUAACACUAGUACUCGUGGACAUCCAAUGAAACUGAAUGUUGGAAGAUUCAGGACAGACAAAAGAAAGAGAGUUAGAGAAAUUCACUGAGGAUAAGGAGGCUGUGUUUUCUCCCUCCACUGUCAGAGACAGUAUGCCUCUGAAUACCAGUUGAUGGGAAUCACUAGUGAAGAGAUUGCUGUUGUGCUCAGGUCCCGCUUGUGGAUUUCCCAUGGGCAUCUGGUUAGCCACUGUAAGAACAAGAUGUUGGACUGGGUGGGCCAUGGUCCUGAUCUAGCAGGGCUCUUCUAUUGCUCUGCUCCUUUUUGCAUCUGGCCCCACCCAUCCUUUGGGCCUCAGAAGGUUGUCCACAAUGGAAUGUGACCUUCAGACUGAAAAUUGUCCCCCCACCCCUCAUCUACUAUGUUGGCUGGCAGUGGCUCUAGUCUCUCCUGUUCUAGACUAGAGUUUGUCCCAGCUCUACUUGGAGAUACCAACGCGACUUGCAUGCGCACUAGGUGCUCGCUGAGCUACAGCUCUUUUCUACAGAGACGCACACUUGCUCUCCCACCUUACCUGUCCCAUCUGCAACAUCCCCACAUGUCUAGUGUUCUAAUAUGGCUUAAUUGCACAGCAUUCAAUGUGCCUAGGCCAAAACGACAUGGUUGAUUAUUAGACUAUAGUAAGAAAAUUGAUCAAGUGGUGUUGUGUUUUGCUCAUCCCGAUUGGCAUAUGAAUGUGAGCUCUCUGCAUGGAGCAUGUGGGCCAGACUGGGGGAAAAUAUUAUCCAGGCCAGCCCAUACACUGAUGCCCCAGCAGGGUCUUCAGUUUGUCUGGGAGGUCAGCUCUAGAGCUUAGUUAGCAUUGUGGUUAAUCCAUUCAUGGCUUAGUCAUGGCACAUCUUUUUGGACUGAUGAAUUAGAAAAGGACCAAGUGCCCCCUGCUGGUUGGCAGUGGCACACUAACCUCAUCCUAACCACAGACACUUAGAAAUAAGGAUGUGCAAAUCAGUCCAUUAUGGCUUCUCUCUGUUUCUCCCCCAAUUUUAAGUUCAGUCCUCCAUACUGCCACAUCAGUUUGUGAUUUUAUCAGCAUCUUAGAGCAGAUUUAUUCAAAUCUGCACAUUUUUGCAAAACACUUUCCCCUAAUAUAAUGCAUUUUGUAAGUUCUUUUCACUGAUACAUGCAUUUAUGCACAUUUAUGCACUUUCCCAGAGUAUAUGGAUUUUUGCACACAUUACUCAGCUGGGGAACUGCAUUACAAAAUCCUGGGAAGUGUGAAUCUUGAAGGAUGGCCAUGUUUCAGUUUGCCUAUUGUUUUGGAAAGUUCAAAUCAAGUAGGUUUGCCUUUAAAUGUGAACAGAAUUAAAUUUAUCCCCCAUCCCUACUUGGAAAUAUGUUCCAUUGGAUUCAGUGCAACUGAAAUUCACAGUAAGGUUGCUUAGGAUUGCAGGCUUUCACCCUGCCCAUUGGGCAAUUGUCAACAGUCCAUCCUCCUUUGCUGCCUAAAAUAACAUUUGAAAUUAAUGACUCCUGGGAUAGGCAUGUCUGUUAGUUUCAGUAGGUCUAUUCUGAGUAGGACCAGCACUUUUAUACAACCCAGUGAUACAGCAGGGAACAGUGAUGGGAUUUGGGCUUUAAAAUUUCAAUGGCACCCUAUGUGACACCAAAAUUCGGUGCCCCCUACCACUCACCUUCCAUUGUUUGUCGUUGUUGCAGCGCCCCCUGCAGGACCCUCUUGGCUCAGCAUCCAGUGCAAGUGAACUGGUCCCUUAAAUCUGCCUAUGUUUUGAUCGCAGCAAAAUGGAAGAGUAAUGAAAUCCCCUCUAUACAAGAUUGGAUCCAAAAGCUGACAGAAUAUGCCGAAUUAGAUGGUUUAUCAGAAAAAAUAAAGAAUAAAUCAAAACAGGAAUUUGUUUCAAAAUGGAAG